ACAUUGAAACACUGGUUCCUGUAUGAUCAUUAAAGUUAAUCAAUGUCAAGCCUGUUUAGUACCUAGAUAGGUGACCACUUGGGAAUACUAGGUGUUGUAAG
Acanthosepion pharaonis is the source of this 101-nucleotide non-coding RNA. The record is from the annotation of a GenBank genome assembly. NCBI's taxonomy places the organism in Eukaryota, Metazoa, Mollusca, Cephalopoda, Sepiida, Sepiidae.